AUCUUUUGAGUAUGAUCAGUACAUUUGCCUUCCAAGCAAAAAGUUUAAAUAAUUUUUAAAAAAGAUA
RNAcentral lists this transfer RNA (67 nucleotides) under Conus ventricosus. RNAcentral describes it as "tRNA-Gly". The record is from RNAcentral. Lineage: Eukaryota; Metazoa; Mollusca; Gastropoda; Neogastropoda; Conidae.